Long non-coding RNA from Nematostella vectensis (starlet sea anemone), 2376 nucleotides. RefSeq lists it as uncharacterized. The transcript has 2 exons. Lineage: Eukaryota; Metazoa; Cnidaria; Anthozoa; Actiniaria; Edwardsiidae. The record is from RefSeq and is a predicted model, not a curated record.
UGCACAGAUGUUGAUGGUGCACUGUUAAAAUAAUGCACCACAAAAUCUCUCAACGUUCUGCUUCUUUAUUGCAAAAAUACACUACUUUUGAAAACAAAGUAGGAUGACUUAUUUAUUGGUAGAACCUGUGGUUUUCUCGUUGGCGUGUGAAAAUGAAUGAACAAAGCAUUGGAAAGAUUGGCGAGUUUUAUCGAUGACGAAGUUUCUAGAAGAGAGAACAUCCUCGGACAUACAUCAGAGAAGACUCUACCUCAAGCCACUUAACACCAUAUGAAGGAAAUAUUUCCACCCGAAAAUACGAUUGUCAUAAUGAACUGGUCGUAAGCCCAGAAUAUCUCACGAAAAAUAUGCUGUUGUAUGAAAAACUAUGAUUAAAUAGAAAGCGUAAUCUUUUAUCUAUUUAAAGUAUCACAACGCGACACUCUGCACUUAUUUCCAUUAUAUAUUGCAUCUACAUUCGAAAAGAACAUAUAUAAAUAUUCGAUUCGAUGGACUAUUUUAACCAGCAAGGGGCAAGGUUUAUUUGUUAAGACGAAAAAAAUGUUUUCCUUUUUUGUAAAAAUAGAGCAGCAUAUAAAAUCCCGAUAAAUUUAGCCUUGAGAUUAAUAUUAGUUCGAGUUUAUCGCGGUUAUUGGAACAUCAGAAAGGCAUGGUUUAUUAUGGUCUAUUUCCAAAUGCCAUAUGUGUACCUGAUUUUAAUGGAUACGGAGUUUAAACAUGGUCGGGAGUACAUUUUUCAUUUUUAUCGCAGGUUUUAAAGACUCCAGUAACUGAAGGUAAAAAUAAGAGAACAAGAAAUAUCUCCGAUUUAAUGUGAUGUUUUACAUUUAUCGUUGUAAAAAUGUUACUAAUUCCUUAUUUAACCUGUUUUAACUUAAAAGUGCACAAUAUGAAAAGGGAUAUCAAUUGCAUUAUACUGCAUACGGUACGUUCUAUUCAUCACAGGUGCCAAAACAAUCUCGUUCCCAGACCCCACGGGAACAUUUGUACUAGCAGGUACUUGGGCUCUGGGAACGAGAUUGGCACCAAGAGUGCAACGUGGAAGUGACUUGUCUUUAUCAUAGCCAGAACAGGGACUAGCUUAGAGUUCGAGAUCUUUAGCACUACAAUACAAUUGAGAAAGGAAGGGAGAAAUAUAAAAUGAAGGAAUAGAGAAAGGAAGAGAUACGUACAGUAACAGCCAAUAACAUUGUGUUUUAUUUCUCUAGAGAACAUCCUCGGACAUACAUCAGAGAAGACUCUACCUCAAGCCACUUAACACCAUAUGAAGGAAAUAUUUCCACCCGAAAAUACGAUUGUCAUAAUGAACUGGUCGUAAGCCCAGAAUAUCUCACGAAAAAUAUGCUGUUGUAUGAAAAACUAUGAUUAAAUAGAAAGCGUAAUCUUUUAUCUAUUUAAAGUAUCACAACGCGACACUCUGCACUUAUUUCCAUUAUAUAUUGCAUCUACAUUCGAAAAGAACAUAUAUAAAUAUUCGAUUCGAUGGACUAUUUUAACCAGCAAGGGGCAAGGUUUAUUUGUUAAGACGAAAAAAAUGUUUUCCUUUUUUGUAAAAAUAGAGCAGCAUAUAAAAUCCCGAUAAAUUUAGCCUUGAGAUUAAUAUUAGUUCGAGUUUAUCGCGGUUAUUGGAACAUCAGAAAGGCAUGGUUUAUUAUGGUCUAUUUCCAAAUGCCAUAUGUGUACCUGAUUUUAAUGGAUACGGAGUUUAAACAUGGUCGGGAGUACAUUUUUCAUUUUUAUCGCAGGUUUUAAAGACUCCAGUAACUGAAGGUAAAAAUAAGAGAACAAGAAAUAUCUCCGAUUUAAUGUGAUGUUUUACAUUUAUCGUUGUAAAAAUGUUACUAAUUCCUUAUUUAACCUGUUUUAACUUAAAAGUGCACAAUAUGAAAAGGGAUAUCAAUUGCAUUAUACUGCAUACGGUACGUUCUAUUCAUCACAGGUGCCAAAACAAUCUCGUUCCCAGACCCCACGGGAACAUUUGUACUAGCAGGUACUUGGGCUCUGGGAACGAGAUUGGCACCAAGAGUGCAACGUGGAAGUGACUUGUCUUUAUCAUAGCCAGAACAGGGACUAGCUUAGAGUUCGAGAUCUUUAGCACUACAAUACAAUUGAGAAAGGAAGGGAGAAAUAUAAAAUGAAGGAAUAGAGAAAGGAAGAGAUACGUACAGUAACAGCCAAUAACAUUGUGUUUUAUUUCUCUAGAGAACAUCCUCGGACAUACAUCAGAGAAGACUCUACCUCAAGCCACUUAACACCAUAUGAAGGAAAUAUUUCCACCCGAAAAUACGAUUGUCAUAAUGAACUGGUCGUAAGCCCAGAAUAUCUCACGAAAAAUAUGCUGUUGUAUGAAAAACUAUGAUUAAAUAGAAAGCGUAA